ACGGGUGAGUAACACGUGGAUAACCUACCUAUAAGACUGGGAUAACUUCGGGAAACCGGAGCUAAUACCGGAUAACAUAUUGAACCGCAUGGUUCAAUAGUGAAAGGCGGCUUUGCUGUCACUUAUAGAUGGAUCCGCGCCGUAUUAGCUAGUUGGUAAGGUAACGGCUUACCAAGGUAACGAUACGUAGCCGACCUGAGAGGGUGAUCGGCCACACUGGAACUGAGACACGGUCCAGACUCCUACGGGAGGCAGCAGUAGGGAAUCUUCCGCAAUGGGCGAAAGCCUGACGGAGCAACGCCGCGUGAGUGAUGAAGGUCUUCGGAUCGUAAAACUCUGUUAUCAGGGAAGAACAAAUGUGUAAGUAACUGUGCACAUCUUGACGGUACCUGAUCAGAAAGCCACGGCUAACUACGUGCCAGCAGCCGCGGUAAUACGUAGGUGGCAAGCGUUAUCCGGAAUUAUUGGGCGUAAAGCGCGCGUAGGCGGUUUUUUAAGUCUGAUGUGAAAGCCCACGGCUCAACCGUGGAGGGUCAUUGGAAACUGGAAAACUUGAGUGCAGAAGAGGAAAGUGGAAUU
RNAcentral lists this ribosomal RNA (579 nucleotides) under uncultured bacterium. RNAcentral's name for it is "bacterial SSU rRNA". It matches the Rfam family "Bacterial small subunit ribosomal RNA", at positions 102 to 668 of the family's 1533-position model. The record is from RNAcentral.